RNAcentral lists this long non-coding RNA (369 nucleotides) under Junco hyemalis (dark-eyed junco). Its description in RNAcentral is "lncRNA (ENSJHYG00000013158.1)". Lineage: Eukaryota; Metazoa; Chordata; Aves; Passeriformes; Passerellidae. The record is from RNAcentral.
GUCAAAGUGCAGCUGAGGCCUCCCAGUUGUGUGUCACCUCUGCAAGAGCCAAGCAGCCUUCCUGCCUGCAGAUAGCAUCACUUCUAGGAUGGGCCAAACUCCAGAUCCUAUCAAUGAAAGGAUAAAGAAGAGAGAAGAAACCCUUCUGCCAGGCCAGACAUUUGCUGGUCACUAGCACAUUCCACAUCACAGCAAGACCAUAUUUAUUUUUGUGUGCUAAAUGCUGUAGCAAGGGACAGUUCAUAGUGAAGAUGACAAGAUCGAAUCAGACUGAGCUGAGUGAUCUCAGCAUCAAAUUUUGAGCGGUCUAUGUUCAAGAAGAAAAGCUGCCUAUUAAAGAAAUGGGAAAUAAAGUGGUCCUGAUAGUCA